RNAcentral lists this ribosomal RNA (398 nucleotides) under uncultured bacterium. Its description in RNAcentral is "partial 16S ribosomal RNA". It matches the Rfam family "Bacterial small subunit ribosomal RNA", at positions 359 to 774 of the family's 1533-position model. The record is from RNAcentral.
GAAUAUUGGACAAUGGGCGCAAGCCUGAUCCAGCCAUGCCGCGUGAGUGAUGAAGGCCUUAGGGUUGUAAAGCUCUUUCAGUAGGGAAGAUAAUGACGGUACCUACAGAAGAAGCCCCGGCUAACUUCGUGCCAGCAGCCGCGGUAAUACGAAGGGGGCUAGCGUUGUUCGGAUUUACUGGGCGUAAAGCGCACGUAGGCGGAUUGGUCAGUUAGAGGUGAAAUCCCAGAGCUCAACUCUGGAACUGCCUUUAAUACUGCCAGUCUCGAGUCCGGGAGAGGUGAGUGGAACUCCUAGUGUAGAGGUGGAAUUCGUAGAUAUUAGGAAGAACACCAGUGGCGAAGGCGGCUCACUGGUCCGGUACUGACGCUGAGGUGCGAAAGCGUGGGGAGCAAACA